AACGCUGGCGGCGUGCUUAACACAUGCAAGUCGAACGGUGACGGAGAGCUUGCUCUCCUGAUCAGUGGCGAACGGGUGAGUAACACGUGGGCAACCUGCCCCAGACUUCGGGAUAACGCUUCGAAAGAGGUGCUAAUACCGAAUACGAACGCCGUGGGCAUCCACGGUGUUGGAAAGUUUUCGGUCUGGGAUGGGCCCGCGGCCUAUCAGCUUGUUGGUGAGGUAAUGGCUCACCAAGGCGACGACGGGUAGCCGGCCUGAGAGGGCGACCGGCCACACUGGGACUGAGACACGGCCCAGACUCCUACGGGAGGCAGCAGUGGGGAAUAUUGCGCAAUGGGCGAAAGCCUGACGCAGCAACGCCGCGUGGGGGAUGAAGGCCUUCGGGUUGUAAACCUCUUUCAGCAGGGAAGAAGCGAAAGUGACGGUACCUGCAGAAGAAGCACCGGCUAACUACGUG
This 460-nucleotide ribosomal RNA is filed under the name uncultured bacterium. RNAcentral describes it as "bacterial SSU rRNA". It matches the Rfam family "Bacterial small subunit ribosomal RNA", at positions 32 to 507 of the family's 1533-position model. The record is from RNAcentral.